This 594-nucleotide ribosomal RNA is filed under the name Plasmodium ovale curtisi. RNAcentral describes it as "SSU rRNA". It matches the Rfam family "Eukaryotic small subunit ribosomal RNA", at positions 796 to 1349 of the family's 1831-position model. The record is from RNAcentral. Lineage: Eukaryota; Apicomplexa; Aconoidasida; Haemosporida; Plasmodiidae.
UGAAUACUACAGCAUGGAAUAACAAAAUUGAACAAGUCAGAAUUCUGUUCUUUUUUCUUAUUUUGGCUUAGUUACGAUUAAUAGGAGUAGCUUGGAGGCAUUUGUAUUCAGAUGUCAGAGGUGAAAUUCUUAGAUUUUCUGGAGACAAACAACUGCGAAAGCAUUUGCCUAAAAUACUUCCAUUAAUCAAGAACGAAAGUUAAGGGAGUGAAGACGAUCAGAUACCGUCGUAAUCUUAACCAUAAACUAUGCCGACUAGGUUUUGGAUGAAACAUUUUUAAAUAAGAAAAUUCCUUUCGGGGAAAUUUCUUAGAUUGCUUCCUUCAGUACCUUAUGAGAAAUCAAAGUCUUUGGGUUCUGGGGCGAGUAUUCGCGCAAGCGAGAAAGUUAAAAGAAUUGACGGAAGGGCACCACCAGGCGUGGAGCUUGCGGCUUAAUUUGACUCAACACGGGGAAACUCACUAGUUUAAGACAAGAGUAGGAUUGACAGAUUAAUAGCUCUUUCUUGAUUUCUUGGAUGGUGAUGCAUGGCCGUUUUUAGUUCGUGAAUAUGAUUUGUCUGGUUAAUUCCGAUAACGAACGAGAUCUUAACCU